This is a long non-coding RNA of Ipomoea nil (Japanese morning glory), 613 nucleotides long. RefSeq lists it as uncharacterized. The transcript is spliced from 3 exons. NCBI's taxonomy places the organism in Eukaryota, Viridiplantae, Streptophyta, Magnoliopsida, Solanales, Convolvulaceae. The record is from RefSeq and is a predicted model, not a curated record.
UUUGACCUAAAUCCCUUAGCCUUUUCAUUAUGGUCAAUGGGUUGGACCUUAUGUUAUAACUUUGGACCCUAACUUUUAUUUAAAGGAAGCCUUUCUAGCCUUUUGUGAUAUUAAUGAAGGGGCUCACUUAUAACCUUUUAGAUUUUACCUUAGCAUUGAAACCCUACCAUAACCAAAGACUCUCCAAACAUUUAAACUUUACUACAUCUCUCUAUCUCUCUCUUGCCAUUCUCUUCUCUCCCUCACUACCCAAAGAGUUCUUCACCUUCCUCUACCUAGAAGACCAUCAAGUUGGCACCUUUCUUCAUCACCAAGUUUAGGAGGGACCACUUGGAAGGAAACUCACAAGAGUAGGCUAGGGAGUUGAAGGAUUUUUGGAUAAGCUAAGAAGGUUCUUAGUUGGUCCGUGAGUGCGGUUAGUUGGAGCCGGCUUAGAUUUGAUUCCCUUUUCCUUAGUUUAGUUGUUUCGGCCUGCGUGCCCUUGAACUAUGAUAUUUUGGUUAGUGUUUUGGUAAAGCUUGUGCAACUAGGUUUGGAGAAUCUAGUUGUGGCUUAACAUCCCUUAACUAUGUUUAGCUUCCAUCGAAUUUUAAUAUGAUUAUGGUUAGAUGUU